Molecule: ribosomal RNA, 869 nt
Filed under: uncultured bacterium
Lineage: Bacteria
Description: bacterial SSU rRNA
Rfam family: Bacterial small subunit ribosomal RNA
Source: RNAcentral
GAGAGCUUGCUUUCUUGAGCGAGUGGCGAACGGGUGAGUAACGCGUGAGGAACCUGCCUCAAAGAGGGGGACAACAGUUGGAAACGACUGCUAAUACCGCAUAAGCCCACGACCCGGCAUCGGGUAGAGGGAAAAGGAGCAAUCCGCUUUGAGAUGGCCUCGCGUCCGAUUAGCUAGUUGGUGAGGUAACGGCCCACCAAGGCGACGAUCGGUAGCCGGACUGAGAGGUUGAACGGCCACAUUGGGACUGAGACACGGCCCAGACUCCUACGGGAGGCAGCAGUGGGGAAUAUUGCACAAUGGGGGAAACCCUGAUGCAGCGACGCCGCGUGGAGGAAGAAGGUCUUCGGAUUGUAAACUCCUGUUGUUGAGGAAGAUAAUGACGGUACUCAACAAGGAAGUGGCGGCUAACUACGUGCCAGCAGCCGCGGUAAAACGUAGGUCACAAGCGUUGUCCGGAAUUACUGGGUGUAAAGGGAGCGCAGGCGGGAAGACAAGUUGGAAGUGAAAUCCAUGGGCUCAACCCAUGAACUGCUUUCAAAACUGUUUUUCUUGAGUAGUGCAGAGGUAGGCGGAAUUCCCGGUGUAGCGGUGGAAUGCGUAGAUAUCGGGAGGAACACCAGUGGCGAAGGCGGCCUACUGGGCACCAACUGACGCUGAGGCUCGAAAGUGUGGGUAGCAAACAGGAUUAGAUACCCUGGUAGUCCACACUGUAAACGAUGAUUACUAGGUGUUGGAGGAUUGACCCCUUCAGUGCCGCAGUUAACACAAUAAGUAAUCCACCUGGGGAGUACGACCGCAAGGUUGAAACUCAAAGGAAUUGACGGGGGCCCGCACAAGCAGUGGAGUAUGUGGUUUAAUUCGACGCA